UAAUACGUAGGUGGCAAGCGUUGUCCGGAAUUAUUGGGCGUAAAGGGCGCGUAGGCGGCACCCUAAGUCAGAUGUGAAAACCCGGGGCUUAACUCCGGACGUGCAUUUGAAACUGGGGAGCUUGAGUGCAGGAGAGGUAAGUGGAAUUCCUAGUGUAGCGGUGAAAUGCGUAGAUAUUAGGAGGAACACCAGUGGCGAAGGCGACUUACUGGACUGUAACUGACGCUGAGGCGCGAAAGCGUGGGGAGCAAACAGGAUUAGAUACCCUGGUAGUCCACGCUGUAAACGAUGGAUACUAGGUGUGGGAGGUAUCGACCCCUUCCGUGCCGCAGUAAACGCAAUAAGUAUCCCGCCUGGGGAGUACGGCCGCAAGGUUG
RNAcentral lists this ribosomal RNA (377 nucleotides) under uncultured bacterium. RNAcentral's name for it is "bacterial SSU rRNA". It matches the Rfam family "Bacterial small subunit ribosomal RNA", at positions 521 to 896 of the family's 1533-position model. The record is from RNAcentral.